GCUGGGCACGGUGGCGCAUGCCUGUAGUCCCAGCUACUCAGGAGGCUGAGGUGGGAGGAUUGCUUGAGUACAGGAGUUCUGGGCUGCAGUGUGCUAUGCUGAUUGGGUGUCUGCACUAAGUUCGGCAUCAAUAUGGUGACCUCCCGGGAGCAGAGGACCACCACGUUGCCUAAGGAGGGGUGAACUGGCCCAGGUCGGAAACAUGGAGCAGGUCAAAACUCCCAUGCUGAUCAGUAGUGGGAUUGUGCCUGUGAAUAGCUACUGCAUUCCAGUCUGGACAACAUAGCGAGACCUCAUCUCUU
Callithrix jacchus (white-tufted-ear marmoset) is the source of this 302-nucleotide unclassified non-coding RNA. It matches the Rfam family "Metazoan signal recognition particle RNA". From Rfam's summary of the family: The signal recognition particle (SRP) is a universally conserved ribonucleoprotein. NCBI's taxonomy places the organism in Eukaryota, Metazoa, Chordata, Mammalia, Primates, Cebidae. The record is from Ensembl.